CCUACGGGGGGCAGCAGUGAGGAAUAUUGGUCAAUGGACGAGAGUCUGAACCAGCCAAGUAGCGUGAAGGAUGACUGCCCUAUGGGUUGUAAACUUCUUUUAUAUGGGAAUAAAAUGUUCCACGUGUGGGAUUUUGUAUGUACCAUAUGAAUAAGGAUCGGCUAACUCCGUGCCAGCAGCCGCGGUAAUACGGAGGAUCCGAGCGUUAUCCGGAUUUAUUGGGUUUAAAGGGAGCGUAGGUGGAUUGUUAAGUCAGUUGUGAAAGUUUGCGGCUCAACCGUGAAACUGCAGUUGAAACUGGCAGACUAGAGUACAGUAGAGGUGGGCGGAAGUCGUGGUGUAGCGGUGAAAUGCUUAGAUAUCACGAAGAACUCCGAUUGCGAAGGCAGUUCACUGGACUGCAACUGACACUGAGGCUCGAAAGUGUGGGUAUCAAACAGGAUUAGAUACCCCUGUAGUC
Molecule: ribosomal RNA, 460 nt
Filed under: uncultured bacterium
Lineage: Bacteria
Description: partial 16S ribosomal RNA
Rfam family: Bacterial small subunit ribosomal RNA
Source: RNAcentral